AAGGCCAUUUUUCUUCUUCUUCUUGCCGUGAGUUGAGAAAGAAAAUAGAAACCUUUGAGCUUAGGGCAUUCGGCAAAAGAAGGCUUCAAAUAAGGUUGUGGAUUCUGACUACCAGUUCGGGGAUCAUCAGCACUUCGUCACACUAUUUACCAUUACGGCAACUAUGUAAUUAGACUUAGCUUAUGGCAUGUAUAGGAUAGAUAAUAUGGUAGAAUGAUAUUUUGACUAUUGUAUAUAAGCCAUAUGAAAAUGGCAUCUUUUGAAUGUU
Gossypium arboreum is the source of this 268-nucleotide long non-coding RNA. RefSeq lists it as uncharacterized. Lineage: Eukaryota; Viridiplantae; Streptophyta; Magnoliopsida; Malvales; Malvaceae. The transcript is spliced from 2 exons. The record is from RefSeq and is a predicted model, not a curated record.